AUCGAUUUAUAGGAUUCUUUUGUUGAUUAUACGAUUGAGGUCUUUGGUUAACAAUUUGAUUUAAGGUUUCUGGAAUUAAGAACGAUUGGUUCUUUUUUGAGGAUCUGUGACCUUUAAUUUACAGAUUUGGGAUUUCUUGAAAAGGAUUUAGAGUGCCCUGUGGCUGCUAGUUUGAUCUAGGUUUCAUAAUUUUGAUUUAAUUUGUUCCGGUGAUAUGGUGGAACUAGGGAUGCUUUUGGUAGAUGUUCUAGGGUUCUUAUAAGCUGGAGCAUAUGUUCUUAUUUGGUCUUUGUUGCCUUUGUUCUGGGAUUUGAGGCUCUAUGAGCAGGGGUUUUGAGGGAUCCUCUUUUAGUGAUUUAGAUUUUCAAGAAUUUUUCAUGAUCUGUUUUUUUUUUUGAUGAUCUGCAUCCUUUAAUAUUGAUUUUUCUAUAAGAAUUUGAAAUGUUCUGUGAUUGAUUAAUUUUCAGGUUGAUUUAGAAUCUCUUGUUUUUGGUUGAAGCAAUGUUUGUUGCAUAUUGGUAACUUGUUGGUGUUAUUAUAUCAUUUUGGUAUACUUGAUGAGUCAUGGUUUUGUGGUGCAUCAGAGAAGUAUUGUUACCACAA
This 603-nucleotide long non-coding RNA is filed under the name Phoenix dactylifera (date palm). Its description in RNAcentral is "long non-coding RNA (PDAC_LNC004364)". Lineage: Eukaryota; Viridiplantae; Streptophyta; Magnoliopsida; Arecales; Arecaceae. The record is from RNAcentral.